GCAUAUUGAAUCUAAUCUAAACAAACAAACAAAGAUGUGAGUGGAAAGGAAAUGAUCCAAGCUAUGUUCCUAUAAACAAACUAUAAGAUUAAAGGCAAAGUGUUCCCAUUCCUACACCACAUGCAAUUCAAUUAGAGACAGUCCAAAUAAUUUAGACAAUCAAAGUAACUUAAAUGCUUGGGUUUUUGGAACCAUGGGUUGUGAAACCCCAAUUCAUACAACAAUCACCUACGUUCGAGUGUUAGUGAACUUAGGCUCUGAUACCCCCAAAUGUAACACUCUAUACCCGGCCCGAUCGUCAUUCUUGAAUAUCAGGAUGCCACACUACCAUUUCAU
This 336-nucleotide long non-coding RNA is filed under the name Gossypium barbadense (sea-island cotton). RNAcentral's name for it is "long non-coding RNA (GBAR_LNC012291)". The record is from RNAcentral. Lineage: Eukaryota; Viridiplantae; Streptophyta; Magnoliopsida; Malvales; Malvaceae.